RNAcentral lists this ribosomal RNA (131 nucleotides) under Acinetobacter baumannii ABNIH14. RNAcentral's name for it is "partial 23S ribosomal RNA". It matches the Rfam family "Bacterial large subunit ribosomal RNA", at positions 2810 to 2925 of the family's 2925-position model. The record is from RNAcentral. Lineage: Bacteria; Pseudomonadati; Pseudomonadota; Gammaproteobacteria; Moraxellales; Moraxellaceae.
UUUCCCUAGGACUUUAUGUCCUCUAAAGAGCCGUUCGAGACUAGGACGUUGAUAGGUUGGAUGUGGAAGCAUAGUGAUAUGUGAAGCUGACCAAUACUAAUUGCUCGUGAGGCUUGACUAUACAACACCCA